RNAcentral lists this ribosomal RNA (425 nucleotides) under uncultured bacterium. RNAcentral describes it as "partial 16S ribosomal RNA". It matches the Rfam family "Bacterial small subunit ribosomal RNA", at positions 354 to 796 of the family's 1533-position model. The record is from RNAcentral.
GUGGGGAAUAUUGCACAAUGGGGGAAACCCUGAUGCAGCGACGCCGCGUGAGCGAAGAAGUAUUUCGGUAUGUAAAGCUCUAUCAGCAGGGAAGAAAAUGACGGUACCUGACUAAGAAGCCCCGGCUAACUACGUGCCAGCAGCCGCGGUAAUACGUAGGGGGCAAGCGUUAUCCGGAUUUACUGGGUGUAAAGGGAGCGUAGACGGAGCAGCAAGUCUGAUGUGAAAACCCGGGGCUCAACCCCGGGACUGCAUUGGAAACUGUUGAUCUGGAGUGCCGGAGAGGUAAGCGGAAUUCCUAGUGUAGCGGUGAAAUGCGUAGAUAUUAGGAGGAACACCAGUGGCGAAGGCGGCUUACUGGACGGUAACUGACGUUGAGGCUCGAAAGCGUGGGGAGCAAACAGGAUUAGAAACCCGAGUAGUCC